Molecule: long non-coding RNA, 610 nt
Filed under: Scleropages formosus (Asian bonytongue)
Lineage: Eukaryota; Metazoa; Chordata; Actinopteri; Osteoglossiformes; Osteoglossidae
Description: lncRNA (ENSSFOG00015029823.1)
Source: RNAcentral
AUUUGCAUGUUCGUCCGAUUGAGGACUCUGAUUGGUCAAUGAGAAAAACGCCCCUUCCAGAAAGGUAGCUGAUUGGCUGUUGCUGUGGCACGCUCUGCUCCACGCCCCGUUUGAAUGCAGGUCCGCGCCGAGGCGGAAUGCCGGCGGUUUGCGAGUGACGGGGACCGCGGAGGUGUCGCUGUGGACACGUGUCUGAACGUUACCGACGAUGCGGAGUCACCGAAAUCCGGGCUGCUGGUGUCAAGCUUCUUGGGAUCCAUAAUCGCUUUUGGGGGAAAAGAUCAACCAGAAAAACAUCCGAAGGCUCCGUGUGCUGAUCAGCUGGAUCCCUUCUUGCUGAAGGAUAUGGCUGAGGGUAGAGAUGACAGAAGAAGUCGUCCUUCGAGUAAAAUGUUUGACAAUGAAACGAGGGCUCUCUGCAAUUGGAAGAGACUUGACCGCAAAAGAAAGUGCCACAGGAAGGGCAGCAAGGGGUACAACCAGCGCAAGGGCGUUUGUGGUCCGACUCGGAGCAGGAGCAGGAGCAGGAGCCGAGGCAGGAGCAGGCGCAGAUGCAGGAGCAAGGGCAGGAGCAGGGGUAGGAGCCGGGGUAAGAGUUCAGACCGGGAGA